GUAGGUGGCAAGCGUUGUCCGGAAUUAUUGGGCGUAAAGCGCGCGCAGGCGGUCCUUUAAGUCUGAUGUGAAAGCCCACGGGCUCAACCGUGGAGGGUCAUUGGAAACUGGGGGACUUGAGUACAGAAGAGGAAAGCGGAAUUCCAAGUGUAGCGGUGAGAUGCGUAGAGAUUUGGAGGAACACCAGUGGCGAAGGCGGCUUUCUGGUCUGUAACUGACGCUGAGGCGCGAAAGCGUGGGGAGCAAACAGGAUUAGAUACCCUGGUAGUCCACGCUGUAAACGAUGAGUGCUAGUGUUAGGGGGUUUCCGCCCCUUAGUGCUGCAGCUAACGCAUUAAGCACUCCGCCUGGGGAGUACGGCCGCAAGGCUG
This 371-nucleotide ribosomal RNA is filed under the name uncultured organism. Its description in RNAcentral is "partial 16S ribosomal RNA". It matches the Rfam family "Bacterial small subunit ribosomal RNA", at positions 527 to 896 of the family's 1533-position model. The record is from RNAcentral.